AUGUGGAUUUCCCUUGGUUAUUGUGCUGCACCUGUUGCAACUAUAGGCAUAACCUGUCAUAAAACACUCUAUCAAGAAAUGCUCCUUUAAGAUGAUAGAUUGAUGAAUUUUUCAGUUUUCAGCAAUAUAAGGAACUAAUAUGAUACUCCUAGUCAUUUGCUCUAUCUUGAGAUAAAUUUGAAAUUCACUUUUGGUUUGCUUGCACUUUUCCUGAAAACCUUGUUAAGUUUUUUUUUUCUG
This 240-nucleotide unclassified non-coding RNA is filed under the name Hevea brasiliensis (rubber tree). The record is from RNAcentral. Lineage: Eukaryota; Viridiplantae; Streptophyta; Magnoliopsida; Malpighiales; Euphorbiaceae.